CAGCCGCCGCGGUAAUACGGAGGGUGCAAGCGUUAUCCGGAUUCACUGGGUUUAAAGGGUGCGUAGGCGGGUAUGUAAGUCAGUGGUGAAAUCUCGGAGCUUAACUCCGAAAUUGCCAUUGAUACUAUAUAUCUUGAAUAUUGUGGAGGUUUGCGGAAUAUGUCAUGUAGCGGUGAAAUGCUUAGAUAUGACAUAGAACACCUAUUGCGAAGGCAGCAGGCUACACAUAUAUUGACGCUGAGGCACGAAAGCGUGGGGAUCAAACAGGAUUAGAUACCCUGGUAGUCCACGCCCUAAACGAUGGAUACUCGACAUACGCGAUACACUGUGUGUGUCUGAGCGAAAGCAUUAAGUAUCCCACCUGGGAAGUACGACCGCAAGGUUGAAACUUAAAGGAAUUGGCGG
RNAcentral lists this ribosomal RNA (405 nucleotides) under uncultured rumen bacterium. RNAcentral's name for it is "bacterial SSU rRNA". It matches the Rfam family "Bacterial small subunit ribosomal RNA", at positions 509 to 916 of the family's 1533-position model. The record is from RNAcentral.